UCAGUGCUAGGAGUGUGUGGAAUUUGCAGAAAUGAAAAGGAGGAGAACUGUGGGGUCCUUGGGGCUCUUUGAGCUUGGCUGUUUUCUUGCAGACAUUUCAUGACCCAACUAGGUAACAUAAUCAGUGCUAGAAGUGUGUGGAGUUUGCAGAGACGAGAAGAGGAAGACUGUGGGGUCCUUGGUGCUCUCUGAGCUUGGUUGCUUUCUUGCAAACGUUUCAUUACCCAACUAGGUAACAUCCUGAGUGCUAGGUAAUGUGGGAGUUUGUAGCGAUCCAGCCAGCACACAAACAAAUAAUUCUGCAGGAUUCAUUAUAUAGAAGAAACUUCUUUAUAAACAUGAUGCAUGUUUACAAUACCCAUGCAGCUCUUGCAACAUGGUAGAGAGAAGAAGUAAGAAAUACAAGAACAAGCACUAGAACUCUCAAGCAAAGACAAAAUGAACUCUUUUAUACACAGAGCAGUUAAGCUAAGCCAUGCCCAGGUUCUAAACUGCCUUGCAUGGCUCACACAAUAAAUCCUGUGUUUCAGUCACCAAACAGUCCCCAUUGUUGCCAUGCCUAUUUCAGUUCAUGAAUUCUUAUACACUGAUCGGUAACAAAUUAGGUGACAUCAUCGGGAAUAUUAGUUUGUACAGCGGAGGAGAAGAAGGGCAGCGGGGAGAAGAGAAGGAGGACUGGGGACUCUUCUGAGCU
Notechis scutatus (mainland tiger snake) is the source of this 694-nucleotide non-coding RNA. The record is from RefSeq and is a predicted model, not a curated record. Lineage: Eukaryota; Metazoa; Chordata; Lepidosauria; Squamata; Elapidae.